GUGCUCACUUUGGCAACACAUGUACUAAGAAUUGGAAUGAUGCAGAGAAGAUUAGCAUGGACCCUGUGCAAGGAUGACAUGCAAAUUCAUGUGUCCUGUAUUUUU
Octodon degus (degu) is the source of this 105-nucleotide small nuclear RNA. The record is from Ensembl. NCBI's taxonomy places the organism in Eukaryota, Metazoa, Chordata, Mammalia, Rodentia, Octodontidae.